GGUAUUUUGACCGUGCAAAGGUAGCAUAAUCAUUAGUUUUUUAAUUGAAAGCUGGAAUGAAAGGUUGGAUGAAAAAAAAGCUGUCUCUAUUUAAUUUAUUUAGAAUUUUAUUUUUAAGUUAAAAAGCUUAAAUUUAAAUAAAAGACGAGAAGACCCUAUAGAGUUUUAUUAAUUUUUUUUAUGAAAUUAAUAGUAUUUUUUAUUUUUAUAAAAGGUAUUAAUUUAGUUGGGGUGAUUGAAAAAUUAAAUAAACUUUUUUUUUAUAUUUACAUUUAUAUAUGAUUAUUUGAUCCUCAAUUUGAGAUUAAAAGAUAAAAUUACCUUAGGGAUAACAGCGUAAUUUUUUUUGAGAGUUCUUAUCGAAAGAAAAGAUUGCGACCUCGAUGUUGGAUUAAAAUAAAAUUUUGGUGUAGAAGCUGAAG
RNAcentral lists this ribosomal RNA (422 nucleotides) under Laparocerus solifuga. RNAcentral describes it as "partial 16S ribosomal RNA". Lineage: Eukaryota; Metazoa; Arthropoda; Insecta; Coleoptera; Curculionidae. The record is from RNAcentral.